UGGGGAAUUUUGCGCAAUGGGCGAAAGCCUGACGCAGCAACGCCGCGUGAGCGAUGAAGGCCUUCGGGUCGUAAAGCUCUGUCCUCAAGGAAGAUAAUGACGGUACUUGAGGAGGAAGCCCCGGCUAACUACGUGCCAGCAGCCGCGGUAAUACGUAGGGGGCUAGCGUUAUCCGGAAUUACUGGGCGUAAAGGGUGCGUAGGUGGUUUCUUAAGUCAGAGGUGAAAGGCUACGGCUCAACCGUAGUAAGCCUUUGAAACUGAGAAACUUGAGUACAGGAGAGGAGAGUAGAAUUCCUAGUGUAGCGGUGAAAUGCGUAGAUAUUAGGAGGAAUACCAGUUGCGAAGGCGGCUCUCUGGACUGUAACUGACACUGAGGCACGAAAGCGUGGGGAGCAAACA
Molecule: ribosomal RNA, 401 nt
Filed under: uncultured prokaryote
Description: bacterial SSU rRNA
Rfam family: Bacterial small subunit ribosomal RNA
Source: RNAcentral